RNAcentral lists this unclassified non-coding RNA (582 nucleotides) under Hevea brasiliensis (rubber tree). The record is from RNAcentral. Lineage: Eukaryota; Viridiplantae; Streptophyta; Magnoliopsida; Malpighiales; Euphorbiaceae.
GAAGAAAUAUCAACAGCAGCAUACCAAGGAAACACCACAGUUAACUUCAAGAAAGACUGUAAAUCUGAAAGUUAACAAAUCUAAUGAUUAUGACAAAGUAACAAUUACUGAUACCCCAGUAUAAGGAAAAGCUCUAAUCAAAUCAUUGGAAUCCCCCUUCAUCAACCAGCUAAACCUCCUCCACCAAUCCAUGAAAUCUCAUGUCAGCAUCCAUCGGUUCAACCCACCACGCAAUAUGGUUUGCCAACUGAUUAGUAGUCUCGUCGCAUUUCAGCGGGGUAAUUCGGCAUAUAGACUACUUGCCGAGGGGGACCAAUCAUCAUCUGCUGCCCAUACUGUGGUCCAUUUGGAUGAAAAAAUUGUUGUGGUACAGGUGUAGCUUGUGGAUUAAACAUAACAGGCUGAUGUGGAGAAAAUGAAGGACCUACCCCAACAGGCAUGCCAUGCACAUUGGGAACAGUAGCCACACCAGCUGGAUAAUAGAAGGAACUAUCAGACACCGGAGAAGCAGGUCUCAAAGGUGAUUGAAAUGGCAUGAAACUCUUUGCAUUAGGAUUUAAUUUAAAUUCCUUAGCAUGUGGA